GCUAAAGAGGACCUUGUGCAGGUUUCCCGAGACAAAACAGAUGGUGCAACGCUGUCGAAGCUGUUGGGCUGGCUUGAAUGAUCCAAUGCUGAUCCGAUUGCACGUAGAGUCGAGAAUUCUGGAAGCCCUGUGAUUCCGAUGCACACUGUGUUCGACGGGGCGGGAAGCAGCAUCACGUUGAUUUGAUUUCUCUGGUUAAGAACGGAAUGGUCUCUACAUUGUCUUCUUGUCGCUCGGUUCAUAACUGCACGUUACCAACAACACAGUCUGCGAAGGAGCCGUAAAUCAUCUUCUCGAUCGUUCCUCUCAUCUCAGAUUCUCAUGCCCAAUUUUUAAUGUGGAAGGAAAAGUCCGGAAUUAUUUUCUCUGAUUCGGUCAACACAUUCGUGCACGGCAACUUUGAAGACUAUCAAAAAGUCUGACUUGCUUCACCGGGCAAUGCCCGGAAUGCUAUCAACCAAUCAUUUUGCAACCACUGCGAAAAAGGAUUGUUAAUGUCUUGGAACUCCGGACGUAACGGACUCCGGACGUAAUGGAAAAAGACCGGACGUAACCGGCUUUAAAGCUCCCCCGCACACACUGGGAAUCCAGCAAGACAUAUACUACCCGGGGUCUGCGGAUCGAUACUGGUUCCUGGAUUCCCGAUGAUUCUUCAACAUGUGUC
Molecule: long non-coding RNA, 664 nt
Organism: Armigeres subalbatus
Lineage: Eukaryota; Metazoa; Arthropoda; Insecta; Diptera; Culicidae
Exons: 4
Source: RefSeq, a predicted model, not a curated record